UACGAAGGGGGCUAGCGUUGUUCGGAUUUACUGGGCAUAAAGCGCACGUAGGCGGAUCGUUAAGUCGGGGGUGAAAUCCUGGAGCUCAACUCCAGAACUGCCUUCGAUACUGGCGAUCUUGAGUCCGGAAGAGGUGAGUGGAACUCCUAGUGUAGAGGUGGAAUUCGUAGAUAUUAGGAAGAACACCAGUGGCGAAGGCGGCUCACUGGUCCGGUACUGACGCUGAGGUGCGAAAGCGUGGGGAGCAAACAGG
Molecule: ribosomal RNA, 253 nt
Filed under: uncultured bacterium
Lineage: Bacteria
Description: partial 16S ribosomal RNA
Rfam family: Bacterial small subunit ribosomal RNA
Source: RNAcentral